CUGACCCAGCCAGCUCUUUGCUCUUCAGGAGCCAGCUAGGUCCCUGUCCUCCAGUCCCUCCCAGCUGCCCCCAGACUCCCCAGACUGUAUCCUCUGUGCCUCCUCUGUUCUCCCCAAGCCCCGUGCUUAGUCAUAAAAGGACUCUGGACACUGCCGGCUGAUUGCUACCUGUCUGUUUCCUGUUGUAACUCACAAGCAACUUGGGGCUACGGUUGGAUUUUAUUCUGCUUCCUGUUCCAGCGUGCACUUUGGGCCUGAAAUGUCGUAGAUGCUCAGGAAAGAAGGGGCCCAGACCUCCUGCACUGCGGUCACUGCCUUCGGAACCCCUCUCUGCUUGCCUUCUGACCGGAAUCUUCUGUUACCAUGGACAGCCCCAUGCUGACAGCUGCCUUCCCGGACACAAGUGUCUCAUCCAGCCGCCCCGAAUUGUGAUCACCUUGGGGCAUGCACUGUGUCCUUGGACACACCUGGUACAAUGCCUGGCACAGACAAGAAACUCUACUAGUGCACCUUUCAAACUGGUCAAGAUCCACUACCCUGAUUUUCUGACCUGUGAAUACACUGUGAACCCGGGUGUGUGAAGAUGUUUGAGAUGCUUGCGGUGGAUCUGAAGGAAGACUGGGAAGUUUUCUGAUGGAUAAAAGGAGGAAUAAAGUAUUUCAUGAAGGACAAGACUGUGCCAGUCCCCAAAGUAUGAACAGCAUGGAGGUCUAGGUAAAGGGUACUCCAAGUUGUUUGACAGUGCCCAGGUGUGAGGUAGGCUGAGCAGUUGGUGAGGCAUGGGACUGGGAGACUGGCAAAGACCAGACCAUAACAGGAUUUGAAUACCAUGCACAUGGGCUCUGUCAUGAGGAUGAGGGGAGCUAUGGAGGGGUUGAGCAGGAGAGGGACACAGACUGUUAGAAAGAUCACUCUAGCUCUAGGGUGAAGGGCUACCUGGAUAGGGAGGCGAGGAGAAUGUAUGAUCAAUAGAUAUAACUAGUAGGCAUCAGAGCUAUAACUGAUUCGGUAUAAUCAUUAGGGUGAGGUGGCUUUUUCCCUGCACAGAGCCACUCCUGCUAUUCACCAUGUGUGUCGUGGAGCUGUCGCUACCCGGAGAAGACAUCUUUAUCUAAUUCACCCAGACACUUUAGAGGCAAAUGGUGGCCCUGGUGGGAGAUAGUCAAGAGGGGUGGAGACAGAGCUAAACUAAGACAGUGGCUUUUGAGAAAGAGAUGAGGGGAAAAGAUAUGAGAUAUAGUGGAGCAAAAUCAUCUGAUCUCGGUGAUCAACCUGAUAUCAGGGCUGAGGGAGAGUGAGGAGAUGGGAUGAUGCUCAGGUUACUGAUUUAGCUCAAGCAGAUUACUCUUUAAAUCCUGUUUCAAUUGAACAGCAGGUGUAGCUGAAUUUUUCCCGCAAAGGUCCUGAUAGAAAAUAUUUUAGAUUUUGCAAGGCUUACAGUCUCUAUGAUAAUUACUCAAUUCUGCCAUUAUAAUUCAAAAGCAGCCACAGACAAGAUGUAAAUGAAUGGGCAUGGCUGUGUUCCAAUAAAACUUUAUUUACAAAAA
Mirounga angustirostris (Northern elephant seal) is the source of this 1547-nucleotide long non-coding RNA. RefSeq lists it as uncharacterized. The transcript has 3 exons. NCBI's taxonomy places the organism in Eukaryota, Metazoa, Chordata, Mammalia, Carnivora, Phocidae. The record is from RefSeq and is a predicted model, not a curated record.